Molecule: long non-coding RNA, 3863 nt
Organism: Manis pentadactyla (Chinese pangolin)
Lineage: Eukaryota; Metazoa; Chordata; Mammalia; Pholidota; Manidae
Exons: 3
Source: RefSeq, a predicted model, not a curated record
ACGUGCCGACCGAGGCUGCUGCCACCUGGGGCGGCGCCCUCCUGGAGGAAGAGCCUCCGUCUGGAGUCAGCCCUGCUCAGUGGUACCUGAAAUAGGUUGCCUGUGAGGUGUUCACUUUCUAUACGAUGAAUAUUAUACAGUCAACCUCUUUCCGGUAUCGAAUCCCGCCCCGGACGACCUCCGCUUCGGGCGCCGACUCCACGCGGCAGAAGCCUCUGCGCUGGGUGACCCGUGGACUUGGUCUGGGGCUUGUGCCAACUGGCCUGCAAAUUGUCCAGCUGUGUCCAUUCUGGAGGCUUCUGAAAGCACCACGUUGUGGCCUCCAUGCCUCCAAGCUUCCCGGUGGUGACCACAGGCGCUGGGCUAAGGCAUUGGCACCCGGCCCUGCCCAGCCAUGGCAGGAUCACCCGGACAGUGGGAAGGGUCCAGGACCCUCUGAAAGGUGAACUCUGAGGGCGCUUCUCCAGGAUGACCUGCGGUGUGUGGUGUCUGUUACAUGCCUUCCGGACUGCAGGAAGCCCCCCCCUGAGCUGGGCUGGCCUCAUCCUCACGGGCUCAGAUGAGACAACAUCCCCACUUUGGAGGGCUCAGCUCUGUGCACGCCUUUCCCCUGCAGGCUUCCUCCUCGGGCCUGUGGUCUCCUUAGGACCAGUGUGUGGGUGGGGCUGCCCCAGCACCAGGGGGACCAGCAGCGACCCUGCCCUGUGAGUUCCCUCCCUCCAGGCCACCACCCCUUCCCUCUGGCCCUAAGUUAUGCAGAUGCGCCACCUCCUGCUGGCCGGCCCCGCCCCUCCGCGCCAGCCCCUCUGCCACAGCCCUGCGGAGGGAGGAGGGAGGGCCACCCUCUCUGUCCUGGACCACCUUGCGGGCCUCCACUUGGGUCUCCCUUCAUUCCCCCCAACCUCCUGUAUGGAGAACAUUUCAGAGUAGAGCCCAGCUCUCCCUGCCCUGCUCAGAGCCCCUCCAGGCAGCCCCUUCCCUCAUGCUCUGCUCCAAAAGGGUCACUGGUGUCCCAAGGCCCUGGAACCGGCCAACCUCACCCCUUCGUGCUCCCUUCCUUACAGUGUAUCCCUGUUUAUGGCCACCCACCCUCCUGAUGGGUGCUGAGUCCUGGGUGGUGGCCUCUGUGGAGCCUGACCUCACCUCUCCUGUCCAGGACUGCAGACCCCUCCUCAUCACCCCACACCCUGCACGGCCCUUCUAGAACACUCAGCAACGUCCCUGCUCACUGCCCCCUCUGCAAGGGGCUGCCCCCUUUCAAGAACAGGUGUUCAGGAUUCUAGGGGGAUGAAAUGCCCCUUGUUCUGCAAGUCUGUCCCUCUUUUCCCGGCCUAGCACCCCCACCUCUUUCCAGUCACCUGCUCUCAGUCACUCUGCUGCAGUUUUCUUCCUAGCUCAUUGCUAUCCAAAAUGACCUGGUGUUCAUGUCUACUUUCUCUCUCCCUGCUAGACUGUAAGAUUUCCCAGGAAUUUUUUUCUGUCCUGUUUCCUGCUGUGUCCCCAGCCCUGGGACCCAGGCCAGGCCCGUAGUAGAGGAAAGGAUGUCAUUUAAGUGUCUGAGGUUUCCUGAGGUUUGGGAUCCCUCUCUCCCCUUUCCAGUGGGCCCCUGGGGCCCUGAAAGGAGCCGUAAGUCCCAAUAUAACCCCGUAGACACCAGUUCUACAAAAGGGGCCAUUCUACAGUGCUGAGAGCCAGGUGCUCUGGGGAACUGCGACUGCACAGGCUGAAGCCUGGUAUCAAGGUUAAUAUAUUAUGCAUGAAACUGACUGAAUAGGGACAUUUGAAGAUGAAAAUUGCUGUGAAUGCAUCCACACAUCUUUGGAAUAUAUUAAACAUGUGUGUAUGGCAGGGUGGGAGGUGACAUUAGCCUUACUUAAUAGCUCCAGUGUAACCAUCCCCAGGCCACAGAAUUAACGAACGUGGGCCCCCCCAGCCUCCAGGCUGCUGCUGGGGAGAAACGUUGGGUCCAUCAGCCAACAUCUGAGAAUUAUGCAUGAGACAAAAUGCGCACCUGGGGCACCAGGGAUGCCGCAGCAUGCAUGUUCUCAACUCAUUUUAGAUCCAAAGCGGUGACCCCAAAUUGCUCAGUGCAGAAUUUCAUUAAAAGCCAAAUUACUGAUCUAUUGUUUGAAGAGAAGAGAAAAUAAACAAAGGGUCUUUCUCAUCUGACAAGCCGAACAGAAGUGCCUGUCCCUGCAGCAGCCAGGAUGGCCGCAGUCACUGUGCGCCCUUGAUCUGGAGGACACCCUGGACUGGGCACUCAGCAGGUGCCCAGUACACGGAUCCCAUUGGCAGAGCCUUGUUUGAUCCCAACCAUGAGCCCAGGGCUGGCCACAAGCUGCCACAUCGGCCUGCUGCCUGGACGGAUGCCGGCUGUGACUACCCUGCCCCUGGAGGCCCUCGGGUCUGGCACGUGCCCACUGGAAGUUCUACUUGUAGCUUCGUGGUCGGGCCUGGAGUAGAGGUAGGAUUUACCCAGGGCACAUGGGGCCUCGGGGAGACCCAAGCUCCUUGUCAGGGUCGGUCUCAGGCCAGAAUCCAUGCCGCCUCACUCAGUGCGGCUCACACAGUGUUCACUGAGCGAAUGAAUGGACAGGGCCCCCUGGCUGCUGCCCAGAACUCCCUCCACCACCACAGUCUCACUCCAAGGGGAGGCCAGCCCCACUCCAUCCACCUGUGGAGAAGGGAGACGGCCCCACAGGGGCAGGAGGCUUGAGCAGGCGGGGCUCUUGACGGCGGGCCUUGGUCUUCCCGGGGCAAGACGCUGCUGAGACGGUGCUCAGAGCCUGGAUGCGGAAACCGUCCAGAAGGCUGCUUCCCUCCAUCUGUGAUAUCUUCGUUUUCUCUAACACUCAAAAAUAGAUGUUUCUGUUAUGCUCUUUCCUUGGCAGGGGAGCGGCUGGGCCUGCCAAGGCCUGGGGGAGCCCGCCAGCCUGCUGAGUCUCACUGUGCAAACAGUCGGGGAGGAGGGGCAUCUCUGCUAACUUGAAAUCCCCGAUCAGUAAACAUGCCAAUUUAAAGUGUAAUUAACUCAGGCCGGAAAAAAUUCAGAUUUGGACUGCUUUUCACAGUUGAGGUUGUUUUUCUUUUAUUUAUUUAUCUCUUUCCGGGUGUGGUGGUGUCUGUGGCAGGUUUAAGCCAGGAAAAAUAGGAGGGGGGCUUGAGUGGGGAGGGGGCUGGUUGGGUGAGGAAAUGGUGGAAAGGAAAGAGGCAGAGAGCAAGGACCGGCCGGACAGCCCGCCGCCUGGCCUCUGUGCCCUUCCUGUUGGGUAUGGCGGGGAAACUGAGGCAGAGGGAAGGAGGGGGCACGCCAUGUCACUCUGAGGGUGGGGCGCAGACCCCUGUGCCAGCUGGCUGUGAUUUGAAAUUGUGGGGUGCUGUCGAGGACCCCAGGAAAGCACUUGGCAUGAACGGGCUCUGGGGCCCCGCUCCCCCCACCCUCCUGUCUCACCUCCCUCCCAGUGGCCGCCUGCUGUUCCGAGGGCCCCGCACUCUCUGACACUCCUUUGCUCUGCUGGUCCCCUCUUCUGCUCCCGGGACUCCCGAGUGGUCCCCGCUCUGGGCGAAGGCCGCGGACGCCCAGGCCCCCGCAGGCGACGCCCCGCGCCUUGCCAGCUCAGCACCUCUCCCACCUGUCUGAAGGGCCCGGAGCACCAGGCGGAUCCCUUGGCGGGACCGAGUUGGACCGCGUGGGCGGGGGGGCAGCCAUGAGGGCACACAAGCUCAAAUGCAGGAGCAGAUGAGCCGUCCCGCUCCCGCUGGGACGCCCGGGGCUUAGCCUGGUUACAAGGACCCAGAAACUCCUGCUCUUCCUGUUGAAAUACUUUGAAUGUUGUUAGCCAUUUGAGUAAUAAAUACACAUU